UCGAGGGGUAACAGGGAAAAGCUUGCUUUUCCGCUGACGACCGGCGCACGGGUGCGUAACACGUAUGCAACCUACCUCUUACUGAGGAAUAGCCCAGAGAAAUUUGGAUUAAUACCUCAUAACACCACAAGAUCGCAUGAUCUAAUGGUUAAAGGUUACGGUAAGAGAUGGGCAUGCGGCCUAUUAGUUUGUUGGUGAGGUAAUGGCUCACCAAGACUACGAUGGGUAGGGGGUCUGAGAGGACUAUCCCCCACACUGGUACUGAGACACGGACCAGACUCCUACGGGAGGCAGCAGUGAGGAAUAUUGCGCAAUGGACGAAAGUCUGACGCAGCCAUGCCGCGUGAAGGAUGACGGCGCUACGCGUUGUAAACUUCUUUUAUAUACCAAGAAACCUUCGGACGUGUCCGAAGCUGACGGUAGUAUAUGAAUA
RNAcentral lists this ribosomal RNA (433 nucleotides) under uncultured bacterium. Its description in RNAcentral is "bacterial SSU rRNA". It matches the Rfam family "Bacterial small subunit ribosomal RNA", at positions 62 to 488 of the family's 1533-position model. The record is from RNAcentral.